Long non-coding RNA from Nicotiana tabacum (common tobacco), 830 nucleotides. RefSeq lists it as uncharacterized. NCBI's taxonomy places the organism in Eukaryota, Viridiplantae, Streptophyta, Magnoliopsida, Solanales, Solanaceae. The record is from RefSeq and is a predicted model, not a curated record.
UCCUGUUUCAAGGCCAUUGAGCUUCAUGUCAUCAACGAUUCAACCUCGGGUUUUAGAGUCAAUCCUCCAUCAAAAUAAAACAAUAUUCACUUUGUAAAUAUUCAAAAAAUAUAGAUCUGAAUUGACCCAACUCUUUCGACGGUUAACAAUGGUGCGUCAAUUCUAACCAGUUUAAUAUUCAAUCAAAACACACCAAACUGUACGGGUAAGUUCAUAUUGAUGUUAAGAGCAAACCCCAAUAUUCAUUUAACCAAAACAUCAACAAAUCAAGGGUUUUAAAUUUUGAUUCCUAGUUUCAAGUUCUUCAAAUUUUUAAUGGUAAAUUUUCAGAUUGAGUCACGAUUUUUCCGUCACUUUUAUCGGUGCACUAUUAUCACUUUCGGUGGAAUGAUGGUGGCAGCCACUUUUAUCGGGCCAAGCUUCGUCAUCACGAGGUGGGGUUCGGAAGGGGCGCGGUUCGCAGAGGUUGCCGAUGGAACGACUGCGAAAUGUGCGGCUGUUUGUUGUUGUUGCCCAUGUGGGCUCGAUGAACCUCCUUGUGCUAACUGGGUAUAAUUUGCCGGCGGUACUUUGCCGGAAAUACCAACGUCGGCGGGUGUCGUGUGAAGAGCGUAGCUUUCUUGCACCAGACUUAGAUUGUGGCACGCCGUCACCAAUUGGGCCAAGAAGAUCACUAGACGAUAGUAACAAUGCAAAUCGAGCGAGUGCUAAUUAGUAAUCAUUGUUUACUAACUAUUCUUCUUGAACAACUAUUAAUCUUUGUAAUUUUAAUACAUUUGAUGAUGUACUUUGGAGUACUGAUAUUUUAUACGAUGAGAAGUGUUAUAGAA